CAGCCGCCGCGGGAAUACGAAGGGUGCAAGCGUUAAUCGGAAUUACUGGGCGUAAAGCGUGCGUAGGCGGUUUGUUAAGUCUGUUGUGAAAUCCCCGGGCUCAACCUGGGAAUGGCAAUGGAUACUGGCAAGCUAGAGUGUGUCAGAGGAUGGUGGAAUUCCCGGUGUAGCGGUGAAAUGCGUAGAGAUCGGGAGGAACAUCAGUGGCGAAGGCGGCCAUCUGGGACAACACUGACGCUGAGGCAGGAAAGCGUGGGGAGCAAACAGGAUUAGAUACCCCUGUAGUCCCUGUCUCUUAUAC
This 301-nucleotide ribosomal RNA is filed under the name uncultured bacterium. RNAcentral's name for it is "partial 16S ribosomal RNA". It matches the Rfam family "Bacterial small subunit ribosomal RNA", at positions 509 to 807 of the family's 1533-position model. The record is from RNAcentral.